UGGGGAAUUUUCCGCAAUGGGCGCAAGCCUGACGGAGCAAUACCGCGUGAGGGAAGAAGGUUCUUGGAUUGUAAACCUCUUUUCUCAAGGAAGAAAAAAAUGACGGUACUUGAGGAAUCAGCAUCGGCUAACUCCGUGCCAGCAGCCGCGGUAAUACGGAGGAUGCAAGCGUUAUCCGGAAUUAUUGGGCGUAAAGCGUCCGCAGGUGGCAUUUCAAGUCUGCUGUCAAAGACUAGAGCUUAACUCUGGGCAGGCAGUGGAAACUGGAAAGCUAGAGUCCGGUAGGGGUAGAAGGAAUUCCCAGUGUAGCGGUGAAAUGCGUAGAGAUUGGGAAGAACACCAGUGGCGAAAGCGUUCUACUGGACCGGAACUGACACUCAGGGACGAAAGCUAGGGUAGCGAAAG
RNAcentral lists this ribosomal RNA (405 nucleotides) under uncultured cyanobacterium. RNAcentral's name for it is "partial 16S ribosomal RNA". It matches the Rfam family "Bacterial small subunit ribosomal RNA", at positions 355 to 774 of the family's 1533-position model. Lineage: Bacteria; Bacillati; Cyanobacteriota. The record is from RNAcentral.